This is a non-coding RNA of Parathielavia appendiculata, 104 nucleotides long. Lineage: Eukaryota; Fungi; Ascomycota; Sordariomycetes; Sordariales; Chaetomiaceae. The record is from the annotation of a RefSeq genome assembly.
GGGAGCUUGGCUCAGUUGGAAGAGCGCAGGUCUCAUACAAAUUGUGUGACCCGAUCAAAGAUCGGGAUAUCCUGAGGUCGUGAGUUCGAGCCUCACAGUUCCCA